RNAcentral lists this ribosomal RNA (484 nucleotides) under uncultured bacterium. RNAcentral describes it as "partial 16S ribosomal RNA". It matches the Rfam family "Bacterial small subunit ribosomal RNA", at positions 30 to 507 of the family's 1533-position model. The record is from RNAcentral.
AUUGAACGCUGGCGGCAUGCUUUACACAUGCAAGUCGAACGGCAGCACGGUCUUCGGCCUGGUGGCGAGUGGCGAACGGGUGAGUAAUAUAUCGGAACGUACCCACUAUUGGGGGAUAACGUAGCGAAAGUUACGCUAAUACCUCAUCCUAUUUAUUGAUGAAAUCUGGGGACCGCAAUGCCUUGUGCUCCUGGAGCCUCCGAUCUCUGAUUCGCUAGUUUGUGAGGUAAAGGCUCACCAAGGCGACGAUCAGUAGCUGAUCUGAGAGGAGGACCAGCCACACGGGAAGUGAGACACGGUCCAGACGCCUAAGGGAGGCAGCAGUGGGGAAUGUUGGACAAUGGGCGCAAGCCUGAUACAGCAAUGCCGCGUGAGUGAAGAAGGCCUUCGGGUUGUAAAGAUCUUUUGUGAGGGAAGAAACGGUAGAGGCUAAUAUCCUUUGUUAAUGACGGUACCUGAAGAAUAAGCACCGGCUAACUACGUG